RNAcentral lists this ribosomal RNA (474 nucleotides) under uncultured bacterium. RNAcentral describes it as "bacterial SSU rRNA". It matches the Rfam family "Bacterial small subunit ribosomal RNA", at positions 355 to 825 of the family's 1533-position model. The record is from RNAcentral.
UGGGGAAUUUUGGACAAUGGGGGCAACCCUGAUCCAGCCAUGCCGCGUGCGGGAAGAAGGCCUUCGGGUUGUAAACCGCUUUUGUCAGGGAAGAAAUCUCUUGGGCUAAUACCCCACGAAGGAUGACGGUACCUGAAGAAUAAGCACCGGCUAACUACGUGCCAGCAGCCGCGGUAAUACGUAGGGUGCAAGCGUUAAUCGGAAUUACUGGGCGUAAAGCGUGCGCAGGCGGUUAUGCAAGACAGGUGUGAAAUCCCCGGGCUUAACCUGGGAACUGCACUUGUGACUGCAUAGCUGGAGUACGGCAGAGGGGGGAUGGAAUUCCGCGUGUAGCAGUGAAAUGCGUAGAUAUGCGGAGGAACACCGAUGGCGAAGGCAGUCCCCUGGGCCUGUACUGACGCUCAUGCACGAAAGCGUGGGGAGCAAACAGGAUUAGAUACCCCCGUAGUCCCUGAGCGGGCUGGCAAGGCGCAU